UACUAGCGGUCCAAGUCGCAGCCAUUUUUAUUGGGUCUAAAACAUCCGUAGCUUGUUUAAUAAGUCUCUUGUGAAAUUCUGUAUCUUAAGUAUAGAGCGUGCAAGAGGUACUGUUAAAAUAGAGACUGGAAGACGUAAGAAGUAUGUUCAUAGUAACGGUAAAAUGUGUUAAUCAUGAACAGACUAACAAUAGCGAAGGCAUCUUACGAGUACAGUUCUGACAGUAAGGGAUGAAGGCUAGGGGCGCAAAACGGAUUAGAUACCCGCGUA
This 270-nucleotide ribosomal RNA is filed under the name uncultured prokaryote. RNAcentral's name for it is "partial 16S ribosomal RNA". It matches the Rfam family "Archaeal small subunit ribosomal RNA", at positions 474 to 743 of the family's 1478-position model. The record is from RNAcentral.